Pseudopipra pipra is the source of this 3978-nucleotide long non-coding RNA. RefSeq lists it as uncharacterized. The transcript is spliced from 2 exons. The record is from RefSeq and is a predicted model, not a curated record. NCBI's taxonomy places the organism in Eukaryota, Metazoa, Chordata, Aves, Passeriformes, Pipridae.
UAUCAGCAUCUCCAUGGAGGUCCCAGGGAGUAUUUGGGGACCCACCAAGGCCCCACAGUGUCCCCAGAGUGGUGAGUGACCAUCCUAGCCACAAUUUCACUGCCUCCAGCCCUCCUGGCCCUGCCGGGCGGUUUCCCAGCGAUGCUGGAGACUGAGACCACAAUAGAAGGAAAUCACUAAAGCUGAAUUGCUCCAAGUAAGUCCUCAGCAGGGUUUGACUGGUAAAUAUUUAACAAGGAGAACUCCCUAUCCUCUCCUGGUACGUAUUAAACUAAUACAUUUAUUUUAACAAGGGAAACGGUUUCCCCCAGCUCCCGCUCAAUUUGAGCCCCUGACUUGUACAAAAGCCUGGGUAAGGUUGGCUUCCUGGGGCUCAGUAAUUCACUGGGGCUAAACGAGAGAUGGCUCCGAGCCACGAACUCGGAGUGUGGAGGUGACAGGACCUCCCCAAGGUUGGGGAGAGCUUGGUACUGGGGUUUCCAUUCCCAUCUGCCUCCAAACUGGUCCAACACCCACCUCAGGACAUCCCAGGUUCUGAGCACUUCAGCCAUCCUGUGGAGCAGGGUUGACUCUGUCCCAUCACGGUUUCCACGUGUUGGAAGCAGCUCACAUGCCAAGUCCUCCCUAGAGCCUUUGCAAAGCUCCAGCUCCACGAGCACCCAUCCCACACUUUCUCCAUCCCCAGUCCUUUUGCUGCCUGUCCCCGUGCUCAGGUGGAGCUGGGUGCCAUGGGCAAGGGCGUGAUGCUGGGAGGGCAAGCAGCUCCCAUCCCUUCUGCCCAGGCUGGUGAUGCUGAGGGUUUAUUCCCCCUCAGCUCUGCUCUUUGCUCCAUUCCAUAGACCAGAGGGGGACUGACAAUACCCCAAGAGCAAAAGUAUUUCACUACUGAUGAUCCUCCAGGGUGGCCAAAUCCAGUAGUCCUCAGGAAGCCCUGCUGAGCCAUCUCCUCAUGCUUUCUGGCCUGAAUGGGGCACACUCAAAUCUGUAACCCCACGCAUGGGGGAUUGGUUCUCCACAAGACCUUCCCAUACAACCGGGGGCUCUGUCCCUCUGCUGGAACUGGCUCUGUGCCCCGAGCAGGAUGGUGGCUGCCAGGUGAAUGCUGCCUCUGCAAAACAUGCCCUGAACAGCUCAUGGGGCAUGUCACUGGUGCCAGGGCUCACUCACGGGCACCCAAACUACACAGCUGCUUUCCCUGCUGUGGCAUUGCUGUUCCUGGGGGCCACAGAGAUGGUCCCACCCUCUGUGGGCAGUGGGAGCUCUGAUACCGUUCCCUGCCAUCCCAGCUGGGAGAGCCCAGUGCUGCCCUUGUGGGCUGCAGGCAGGCUCUGAGGCUGUUGGAGUCUCUCUCACUCCCUCACUAAUAUUUUUCAGGCUUUCCCUCAAGGAAAUAAAAAUCUCUGAAAGCAACUCCCAGCUUUGCAUCUUUGCUCCGAGCCAUCCCGUGACUCCAGCACUUCCAUUCUGACUCACGGGCAGAGGGCAGGUUUGAACAACUGUGGCUGCCUCUGCCAAGGCAAUUAUGACUCCUGGCACCAUGGCCCAAAAACCUCUGGGAAACUUUCCCUGCUCCACUUACCCCACUCGCGGUGUGUGUGAUGAUGUGUGACAUUCCCAGGAGAGGUGCAGGCACGGCUCUCAUGGUGGGAAAUGGAAGAUGCAAGUCCUUGAUGCACUGGGAAGAGCUCCCUGGUACCAUAAACCCUCUUCUGCUCACAGUCCCUGGAUCAGAGGCUGCCUUGGCACCUCCCUGUGUGCCCACAAUUAUGCAGUGCUGGGAGAUCCGUUCAGGUGAGGCCACCAGCGUGGAAACAUCCAACAAAACCUGCUGUGGCCUGAGCAUCUGACAUUUUUUUGUCCUGCCACUGUGAUCUGACAUCAUGUUUAUCCUUCAUCACCACCAAAACCUAACCUGUGAAGCAUCUCUCCAAGUAUUCCUUCCCCAGGUAUUCCAGUCUGCCUUCAGUUCUUCAUAAUAUUUAGUAAACUCCCCUCUUGAAAAGAAAGGGCUGAGCAGAAACAAGGAACGUUCACCUCCCCCUCACAAACAAGCAGAAGGUCCAUUCCUGUCCCAACCUUCACCUGUCCCAUCCCACAGCAGCCAGUGAGGUCUCUCCCACCACCAGUAGGAAAAUCAGUAGGAAAAAUCUGUUUUUCUGGGACUGUGAUUCCAGCAAGUCGCACAGCAGCUUGGCAGUACAGUAAAUAAGAAACAGAUUUCCAAAUGUUUUGGUUUACCAUUUUUUUCUCUUUGUAGCAUCUAAGCCCAGGGGCUGAGGACCUGACUCCACAAAGUCUCUGUCCUGCACCCACAGGCAGGCACCCAGCAGGGCUCAGCCUGGCAGGGGAAGAUCCUGGUGAGGAGCAUUCCCUGUGGAGCAGCAGCUUGUCAAGCCAGGGGAGCUGCACACAAUCUGUUCAGAAGUGCCCAAUUUCAGUGCAAAAUGGAAAAUUGGACAGAAAAGCAGGCCCUGGAGUGCAUCCCAUGCUGAGGGUGGUAAGCCAUGAAACAUUCACUGCCAUGGCUCCUGUGCUGGUUUGAGGUGCUGUGCUGCUGCCUCUCACAGUUGUCCCCAGCUGCAUUUUCCCCUCGUGGUGUCUCACACCUGUGAGCAUUAAUGACAAGACUGAAAGCUCUGGGGCUGAUUCUCUUUCCACAUCAGCUUCAGUCCAGAAUAACUUCAGUCCAGAAUAAUUUCCUCAGCUGGAACUCACCCUGGUGCACGGGCGUGCAAGAGGAGCAGGAACUGAAGGAUCCGGAGCUUGUUUCAAACUCAGCUGGCAAAGCAGAGCAAAAACACAUCAGAGGCAGCCAGUGACAUGGCUAGACGGGAUGAUUCUUCCUCCCUGUGCAUGUGGGAGCUGGACACACUGGGAUGGAGGACCUGGAGUUUGUCCCCCUCCAACCCAGGCUCACAGGCACUUCCCAGGCUGUUACCCCCUGUGCAGACACCUCCCAACCUGCCAGACCCCCACAGCAGCAUCACAGCUCUCUGUGGAAGUGCUGCAGUGUGGAAGGCACAGGUUGGAAAACAAAAAUGACACAGGCAGCUUCCAUGAGCAGGCCAGUGGUGUCCAAAAUCCAGCCAUGGACACGUGCAUUCAGUGCAUGAUCACACACCAGUACAGAGAGACAAGGAAGUUAUGGUGGGCAGAGGUUUAUACUAAACAAAGUCCUGUUGGAUUAUAAGACAAAAUCAGCAUCACCCUGGUGAGUAACUUGGGAAGUAAUUAAGAGCAGUUUUAUAGGUGCAAGAUCCUGCUGUGCCAUGGACCAGUAAAACUGUGUCUGAGUCUUCUGAUGGACACAUGCAGGGCUGUGUGUAACACACAGGCCAGGCUCAGGCUGCAGGUGUGCCAGUGCCUGCUCAUCCCACCUCCCUGAUGGCCUGAGGGAGCUCAGGGCACUUCACAUGGGAUCCAAUCCACCCACGGCACGUUGGGGAAUGGCUCCUCCUGCUCUGGAGCUGAGUCACACAGUGUACCAACCAAAACUAAAGGGCCACGGUCCCAAAAAGCUGGACCAAAAAGCUUUGUGAAGCUGAGCUGUGAGACAGCAGCGGAAGAACAGUGCUGAGAGGCUGGAGAUGCUCCACUUCCCUAUGCUCUGGUCACCCAACACCUCCAGGCUGGGCAGCCAGAAAUUAGGACAACCAGGAACAGCUGGGUGUUUCCCCGGGUCCAGGCUUUGUGUUUUAGCAGUUCAACCUCGGCAGAAUGGGCAGGAAGCUGAUUCCAAGAUGACAAAAGGGAACCCAACAGUGGGACCCACCAAGCCAUUGGGUCCUCCCUUCCCAGAACCCUCAGCCAGUGCUUGGCUGACCCAGGGCCAGGGGCUUGGGGAUGCAGCUCGUGUUCCCAGAUCAAGGCAACAUUUUAUCUGUGCCAGUUCGAGCCAUUAAUAGUUGUCUUUACAAACCCUCCCAAGCUUCCAACACUAUGUAAACAGAAGUGAAUUAAAAUUAUUUUUUUCCAUCA